CUACCACUGAGGAGUCCCACAAUAGGACGAAACGGCCGUCCAGUAC
This 46-nucleotide non-coding RNA is filed under the name Schistosoma mansoni. The record is from RNAcentral. Lineage: Eukaryota; Metazoa; Platyhelminthes; Trematoda; Strigeidida; Schistosomatidae.